AAAAUGCGACAAUGGGGGCAAGCCUGAUCCAGCCCUGCCGCGUGUGGGAAGAAGGUCUUCGGAUGGUACAGCACUUUAAGUGGGGAGGAAGGGCAUUAAGGUAAUACCUCCCUGUUUUGGCGUUAUCGACAGAAUAAGCGCCUGCUAACGUCGUGCCAGCAGCGGCGGUAAUACGAAGGGUGCAGGCGUUAAGCGGAAUUACUGGGAGUAAAGCGCGCGUAGGUGGUUUGUUAAGUUGGAAGUGAAAUGCCCGGGCUCAACCUGGGAGCUGCUUUGAUAACUGCUGGGCUAGAGUGCGGUAGAGGGUAGUGGAAUUUCCUGUGUAGCGGUGAAAUGCGUAGAUAUAGGAAGGAACACCAGUGGCGAAGGCGACUACCUGGGCUUAUACUGACACUAAGGUGCGAAAGCGUGGGGAGCAAAC
Molecule: ribosomal RNA, 421 nt
Filed under: uncultured bacterium
Lineage: Bacteria
Description: partial 16S ribosomal RNA
Rfam family: Bacterial small subunit ribosomal RNA
Source: RNAcentral